RNAcentral lists this ribosomal RNA (144 nucleotides) under Suhomyces tanzawaensis NRRL Y-17324. RNAcentral describes it as "Candida tanzawaensis NRRL Y-17324 5.8S ribosomal RNA". It matches the Rfam family "5.8S ribosomal RNA". Rfam says of the family: 5.8S ribosomal RNA (5.8S rRNA) is a component of the large subunit of the eukaryotic ribosome. It is transcribed by RNA polymerase I as part of the 45S precursor that also contains 18S and 28S rRNA. The record is from Rfam by way of RNAcentral. Lineage: Eukaryota; Fungi; Ascomycota; Pichiomycetes; Serinales; Debaryomycetaceae.
GAAUUUCAACAACGGAUAUCUUGCCUCUCUUAUCGACGAAGAAUGAAAUAAGUGAUAUAUAAAAUGUGGCCUCUGUGAGUCAUCUUAUCGUUGAAAGCACAUUUCAUAUUGAAGAUUACCCCAACAAAGCGUAUUAGAGCACCG